UACGUAGGGUGCAAGCGUCAAUCGGAAUUACUGGGCGUAAAGCGUGCGCAGGCGGUUCUAUAAGACAGAUGUGAAAUCCCCGGGCUCAACCUGGGAACUGCAUUUGUGACUGUAGAGCUGGAGUACGGUAGAGGGGGAUGGAAUUCCGCGUGUAGCAGUGAAAUGCGUAGAUAUGCGGAGGAACACCGAUGGCGAAGGCAAUCCCCUGGGCCUGCACUGACGCUCAUGCACGAAAGCGUGGGGAGCAAACAGG
RNAcentral lists this ribosomal RNA (253 nucleotides) under uncultured bacterium. Its description in RNAcentral is "partial 16S ribosomal RNA". It matches the Rfam family "Bacterial small subunit ribosomal RNA", at positions 524 to 776 of the family's 1533-position model. The record is from RNAcentral.